ACACGUGGGCAACCUGCCUGUAAGACUGGGAUAACACCGGGAAACCGGUGCUAAUACCGGAUAAUCCUUUUCCUCUCAUGAGGAAAAGCUGAAAGUCGGUUUACGCUGACACUUACAGAUGGGCCCGCGGCGCAUUAGCUAGUUGGUGAGGUAACGGCUCACCAAGGCGACGAUGCGUAGCCGACCUGAGAGGGUGAUCGGCCACACUGGGACUGAGACACGGCCCAGACUCCUACGGGAGGCAGCAGUAGGGAAUCUUCCGCAAUGGACGAAAGUCUGACGGAGCAACGCCGCGUGAGCGAUGAAGGCCUUCGGGUCGUAAAGCUCUGUUGUUAGGGAAGAACAAGUAUCGGAGUAACUGCCGGUACCUUGACGGUACCUAACCAGAAAGCCACGGCUAACUACGUGCCAGCAGCCGCGGUAAUACGUAGGUGGCAAGCGUUGUCCGGAAUUAUUGGGCGUAAAGCGCGCGCAGGCGGUCCUUUAAGUCUGAUGUGAAAGCCCACGGCUCAACCGUGGAGGGUCAUUGGAAACUGGGGGACUUGAGUACAGAAGAGGAAAGCGGAAUUCCACGUGUAGCGGUGAAAUGCGUAGAGAUGUGGAGGAACACCAGUGGCGAAGGCGGCUUUCUGGUCUGUACUGACGCUGAGGCGCGAAGCGUGGGGAGCAACAG
Molecule: ribosomal RNA, 673 nt
Filed under: uncultured bacterium
Lineage: Bacteria
Description: bacterial SSU rRNA
Rfam family: Bacterial small subunit ribosomal RNA
Source: RNAcentral